RNAcentral lists this unclassified non-coding RNA (1313 nucleotides) under uncultured Neocallimastigales. Its description in RNAcentral is "partial contains internal transcribed spacer 1, 5.8S ribosomal RNA, internal transcribed spacer 2, and large subunit ribosomal RNA". The stretch from base 624 to 1313 matches the Rfam family "Eukaryotic large subunit ribosomal RNA", at positions 1 to 630 of the family's 3401-position model. The record is from RNAcentral. Lineage: Eukaryota; Fungi; Neocallimastigomycota; Neocallimastigomycetes; Neocallimastigales.
UUGGACUCCAUUGGUGAGUUCAUUAAUAAUCCCUACCCUUUGUGAUUUGUUUGUUUGAAUAAUUUUUUUUCCAAAAAAAAAAAUUAUUGAAUGUCUUUCCCUGUUUUGGUGGAGCUUGUAAAGUGAAACCAGGCAGGGGAAUGGCAAACAACAAUUAUUUUUGAAAAAGACCUUUUUUUAAAAUUAAACUUUUUGUAUUCAUUUGUCUAAAAUUAUUUUUAUAAUAUAAAAACAACUUUUGACAAUGGAUCUCUUGGUUCUCGCAACGAUGAAGAACGCAGCAAAAUGCGAUAAGUAGUGUUGAAUUGCAGAAUACGUGAAUCAUCGAAUCUUCGAACGCAUAUUGCACUUUUUUAGUUUACUAAAAAAGUAUGUCUGUUUGAGUAUCAGUAAAAUAUUCUCAUAAAAAACAUUGUUUUUUUAUGGUUAUGAGUGUUUUACAACGAUAACAAGUUGUUUCACUUUAAAUUCUUUGUUAUCAAAAAAAUCAUUAAAAGCUAAUUUUAAAGAUUUUUUAAAAUUGGAUAAAAUUUCCCGUAAAAAGGAAUAACCUAAACAAUUUUAAAAAUUAAAAUUGGUUUUGAUUUUUUUGAAACCCAAAGGAAAAAAAAACGAAAUUAACUUGAUCUCAAAUCAGAUAAGAGUACCCGCUGAACUUAAGCAUAUCAAUAAGCGGAGGAAAAGAAACUAACUAGGAUUCCCUCAGUAACGGCGAGUGAAGCGGGAAGAGCUCAAAUUUGAAUCUUCAAGGUUUACCUUGACGAAUUGUAGUUUAAAGAAGUGUUUCUGUUGGAGUUUUGGUAAAAGUUCUUUGAAAAGGACAUCAUAGAGGGUGAGAAUCCCGUAUUUGACCAUUAUCUCCAGCUUUGUGAUACACUUUCAAAGAGUCGGAUUGUUUGGGAAUGCGUCCAAAAUGGGUGGUAAAUUUCAUCUAAAGCUAAAUACUGGCGAGAGACCGAUAGCGAACAAGUACCGUGAGGGAAAGAUGAAAAGAACUUUGAAAAGAGAGUUAAACAGUACGUGAAGUUGUCAAAAGGGAAGCGUUUGACACCAGUGUUGUUUUCUCGAAAAUCAAUUAGAAAGGCCGGAUUUGUGUUGUAUUGACUUUAUCAGCUUUCUGCACUUUUUCUUGUCUUUUUUAAUGCACUUUUCGUUUAACAAGUCAACAUCAAUUCUUUUGUUGUAAAAGGGUCAUUGGAAGGUGGCUUCUUUUCGGAGAAAGUGUUUAUAGCCUUUGGCCUCUGCAAUCGGAGAGAUUGAGGUCUGCAGCGUAGAUCCUUCGGGGUUAGAUACAUUUGUGCUAAGUUAUAGCC